Molecule: ribosomal RNA, 449 nt
Filed under: uncultured bacterium
Lineage: Bacteria
Description: partial 16S ribosomal RNA
Rfam family: Bacterial small subunit ribosomal RNA
Source: RNAcentral
CCUACGGGAGGCAGCAGUAAGGAAUAUUGGUCAAUGGACGCAAGUCUGAACCAGCCAUGCCGCGUGGAGGAUGAAGGUCCUCUGGAUUGUAAACUUCUUUUAUUUGGGAAGAAACUCCCGAUUUCCAUCGGGAUUGACGGUACCAGAUGAAUAAGCACCGGCUAACUCCGUGCCAGCAGCCGCGGUAAUCCGGAGGGUGCAAGCUUUAUCCGGAUACAGGGGGUUUAGAGGGGCAGGUGGUGGGCAGGUGAAAUCUCCGGGCUUAAACCGGAAACUGCCAUUGAUACUAUUUGUCUUGAAUACUCUGGAGGUGAGCGGAAUAUGUCAUGUAGCGGUGAAAUGCUUAGAUAUGACAUAGAACACCCAUUGCGAAGGCAGCUCACUACGGAAAUAUUGACGCUGAGGCACGAAAGCGUGGGGAUCAAACAGGAUUAGAUACCCCUGUAGUC